AUGCGUUCACCAUUGUGCAGCAGUGACGAGUCUCGUGAUGUGGUACACAACAUUCUCACUGGAACACAAAGUCCUGGAAAUCUUUUGGAUUGGUGGGAUUUUAUAAUCGGAAGAUCUCAUGAUGGAUUGGCCACAAGAAGGGAUCAGAUCUAUCCUCAAGGUACACCUUUGUCACUUCCAUCUCAAAGAAUAUUUCCUAUUUUUUUUCCCUUUUCAAAUCCAAACAUCAGCCAUCACACAUGA
RNAcentral lists this long non-coding RNA (243 nucleotides) under Fukomys damarensis (Damara mole-rat). Its description in RNAcentral is "lncRNA (ENSFDAG00000028380.1)". The record is from RNAcentral. Lineage: Eukaryota; Metazoa; Chordata; Mammalia; Rodentia; Bathyergidae.